CUGGAGAUAAAGCUCUGUUGGUAGAGUGUUUGCCUGGCAUGCCCAAGACCCUGGAUUCAAUCCCCAGUAUUCAAG
Molecule: transfer RNA, 75 nt
Filed under: Marmota monax (woodchuck)
Lineage: Eukaryota; Metazoa; Chordata; Mammalia; Rodentia; Sciuridae
Description: tRNA.Ala
Source: RNAcentral